This 400-nucleotide ribosomal RNA is filed under the name uncultured bacterium. RNAcentral describes it as "bacterial SSU rRNA". It matches the Rfam family "Bacterial small subunit ribosomal RNA", at positions 358 to 775 of the family's 1533-position model. The record is from RNAcentral.
GGAAUAUUGGGCAAUGGGCGCAAGCCUGACCCAGCAACGCCGCGUGAGUGAAGAAGUAUCUCGGUACGUAAAGCUCUAUCAGCAGGGAAGAAAAUGACGGUACCUGAUUAAGAAGCCCCGGCUAACUACGUUCCAGCAGCCGCGGUAAUACGUAGGGGGCAAGCGUUAUCCGGAUUUACUGGGUGUAAAGGGAGCGUAGACGGCAGCGCAAGUCUGGAGUGAAAUGCCGGGGCCCAACCCCGGAACUGCUUUGGAAACUGUGCAGCUCGAGUGCAGGAGAGGUAAGCGGAAUUCCUAGUGUAGCGGUGAAAUGCGUAGAUAUUAGGAGGAACACCAGUGGCGAAGGCGGCUUACUGGACUGUAACUGACGUUGAGGCUCGAAAGCGUGGGGAGCAAACAG